RNAcentral lists this ribosomal RNA (545 nucleotides) under uncultured bacterium. RNAcentral describes it as "bacterial SSU rRNA". It matches the Rfam family "Bacterial small subunit ribosomal RNA", at positions 358 to 917 of the family's 1533-position model. The record is from RNAcentral.
GGAAUUUUCCGCAAUGGGCGAAAGCCUGACGGAGCAACGCCGCGUGAGGGAUGAAGGCCUCUGGGCUGUAAACCUCUUUUCUCAAGGAAGAAGAUCUGACGGUACUUGAGGAAUAAGCCACGGCUAAUUCCGUGCCAGCAGCCGCGGUAAUACGGGAGUGGCAAGCGUUAUCCGGAAUUAUUGGGCGUAAAGCGUCCGCAGGCGGCCUUGUAAGUCUGUCGUUAAAGCGUGGAGCUUAACUCCAUUUCGGCGAUGGAAACUACAAGGCUUGAGUGUGGUAGGGGCAGAGGGAAUUCCCGGUGUAGCGGUGAAAUGCGUAGAUAUCGGGAAGAACACCAGUGGCGAAGGCGCUCUGCUGGGCCAUAACUGACGCUCAUGGACGAAAGCCAGGGGAGCGAAAGGGAUUAGAUACCCCUGUAGUCCUGGCCGUAAACGAUGAACACUAGGUGUCGGGGGAAUCGACCCCCUCGGUGUCGUAGCCAACGCGUUAAGUGUUCCGCCUGGGGAGUACGCACGCAAGUGUGAAACUCAAAUGAAUUGACGGA